This 524-nucleotide ribosomal RNA is filed under the name uncultured fungus. RNAcentral's name for it is "eukaryotic LSU rRNA". The stretch from base 189 to 340 matches the Rfam family "5.8S ribosomal RNA". Lineage: Eukaryota; Fungi. The record is from RNAcentral.
CUUGGUCAUUUAGAGGAAGUAAAAGUCGUAACAAGGUCUCCGUAGGUGAACCUGCGGAGGGAUCAUUAAUGAAUGGCCUCUGUGCCUUCAACCUUACAAACCUGUGGAAGCUAUAUGUGCUUCGGCGCUCAGGCGUCGUUUUUAUGCUACAAGUCAGUCUUUGUGUCUGAAUCAAACAAAAGAAAUAAAACUUUCAACAAAGGAUCUCUUGGCUCUCGCAUCGAUGAAGAACGCAGCGAAGCGCGAAAUGUAGUGUGAAUCGCAGAACAUUGUGAAUCAUCGAAUCUUUGAACGCACAUUGCGCCUCUAGUAACUUGGAGGCAUGCCUGUCUGAGYGUCAUUUAAAACCAUAAACCUGAAUGGGUUUGUAUUGGGCAUCGCCGUACGGCGUAGCCUCAAAGACAUUGGUCUUGAACGCGGACGAGCUCCUUUAGGACAGACCGUGUGAGGACUUUAAACAUCUGACUUGACCUCAGAUCAGGUAGGACUACCGCCUGAACUUAAGCAUAUCAAUAAGCGGAGGA